This is an RNA transcript of Solanum dulcamara, 723 nucleotides long. It is a transcript of the gene named histidine-containing phosphotransfer protein 4-like, with no coding region annotated. NCBI's taxonomy places the organism in Eukaryota, Viridiplantae, Streptophyta, Magnoliopsida, Solanales, Solanaceae. The record is from RefSeq and is a predicted model, not a curated record. The transcript is spliced from 6 exons.
UAUACUUUCUAAAGUUUAGUAUUCUUAUUAUCUUUCAAUUACUUUCUAUUGUCUAUAAUUCAUCCAUACUCUUAUGGAAAGAAAUAAUCACUUGCGUCGGCACGUUGCCAGCCUUAGGCAGUCCCUUAUCGAUCAGGGAUAUGUUGAUGAGCAAUUUAUUGAGUUAGAAGAGCUACAAGAUGAUGAUACUCCUAACUUUGUAGAGGAAGUUGUUACUUUGUUUUAUAAUGAUUCUGCUCGUUUAAUCCAUAACAUUGAUCACUCACUGGAAAAAGAACCUGUUGAUUUUGCAAAGCUUGACAACUAUAUGCACCAGUUCAAGGGCAGUAGUUCAAGCAUUGGAGCCAAGAAGGUUAAAACUGAAUGUACACAGUUCAUGGAAUACUGCAGAGCAGGAAAUGUGGAAGGGAACAAAUUUAAAAGUCAAUUUUUGUUGCGCAAAGAAUCAAGGGAUGCAUUGUACAUGUUCAUUAUUAGUUUGGCUUACGACCCGAAACAUCUGGCUAAAGGUGAAGAAAUCUAACCAUCCCGCCACACCUUUAUGAUUUUUGACUUUUAUAGUAUUACAAUUCGUGCGUGAUUAUUAUUAUUUUUCCCAUGUUUUUGUACAUGAAUUGAAUGAAGAAGAUGCAAGAGAACUUUUCAACAAUUAAAGAGAGAAUAUGCGGUACUGAGAAAGAAGCUGGAAGUUUAUUUUCAGUAUGCAAGACAAGCUGGACCAAC